Molecule: ribosomal RNA, 410 nt
Filed under: uncultured microorganism
Description: bacterial SSU rRNA
Rfam family: Bacterial small subunit ribosomal RNA
Source: RNAcentral
CAGCCGCCGCGGUAAUACGGAGGGCGCGAGCUUUGUCCGGAUUCACUGGGCGUAAAGCGUGCGCAGGCGGCCCGUUAAGACAGGUGUGAAAUCCCUGGGCUCAACCUAGGAAUUGCGCUUGUGACUGGCGGGCUCGAGUACGGUAGAGGGGGGUGGAAUUCCUGGUGUAGCAGUGAAAUGCGUAGAGAUCAGGAGGAACACCGAUGGCGAAGGCAGCCCCCUGGGCCUGUACUGACGCUCAUGCACGAAAGCGUGGGGAGCAAACAGGAUUAGAUACCCUGGUAGUCCACGCCCUAAACGAUGGGUACUAGCCGUUUGGUGCGCGAUAGCGCUGAGUGGCGAAGCUAACGCGUGAAGUACCCCGCCUGGGGAGUACGGCCGCAAGGUUGAAACUUAAAGGAAUUGGCGGG